Molecule: ribosomal RNA, 253 nt
Filed under: uncultured prokaryote
Description: partial 16S ribosomal RNA
Rfam family: Bacterial small subunit ribosomal RNA
Source: RNAcentral
GACGAACCGUCCGAACGUUAUUCGGAAUCACUGGGCUUACAGAGUUCGUAGGCGGUUCGGUAAGUUAGAUGUGAAAUCCCUUGGCUUAACCAAGGAACUGCGUUUGAAACUACCGGACUCGAGGGAGAUAGAGGAAAGCGGAACUGAUGGUGGAGCGGUGAAAUGCGUUGAUAUCAUCAGGAACACCGGUGGCGAAGGCGGCUUUCUGGGUCUCUUCUGACGCUGAGGAACGAAAGCUAGGGGAGCGAACGGG